Molecule: ribosomal RNA, 374 nt
Filed under: uncultured bacterium
Lineage: Bacteria
Description: bacterial SSU rRNA
Rfam family: Bacterial small subunit ribosomal RNA
Source: RNAcentral
GAUGAACGCUAGCGGGAGGCCUAAUACAUGCAAGUCGAGCGGUAGAGUGACUUCGGUUGCUUGAGAGCGGCGAACGGGUGAGUAACGCGUACACAAUCUACCUUUAAGAGGGGAAUAGCCCUGGGAAACUGGGAUUAAUGCCCCAUGGCAUCACGAGACGGCAUCGUUUUGUGAUUAAAGCUGAGGUGCUUAGAGAUGAGUGUGCGUCUGAUUAGCUAGUUGGUGCGGUAACGGCGCACCAAGGCGACGAUCAGUAGGGGGCGUGAGAGCGUGGACCCCCACACGGGUACUGAGACACGGACCCGACUCCUACGGGAGGCAGCAGUAAGGAAUCUUCGGCAAUGGGCGCAAGCCUGACCGAGCAACGCCGCGUG